UCCGUACUGGUGUAUCGGUAACAUUUCCGCCUCUCAAGUGCUUGCACAGAUUUCGCGGUAGCGCAGGGUUCGACUCCCUGGUACGGAA
This is a non-coding RNA of Oidiodendron maius Zn, 88 nucleotides long. NCBI's taxonomy places the organism in Eukaryota, Fungi, Ascomycota, Leotiomycetes, Myxotrichaceae. The record is from the annotation of a GenBank genome assembly.